Molecule: non-coding RNA, 338 nt
Organism: Cinara cedri
Lineage: Eukaryota; Metazoa; Arthropoda; Insecta; Hemiptera; Aphididae
Source: the annotation of a GenBank genome assembly
UCAGAUGAAAUUAUAAAAUGCGAUAUUUUGAUAAAUUCAGAACAUGUAGAUGAAUAUCCACGAGCCGUUGAAUUAUAUUUGAACAACAGUAUUUUGUUUAUGUUAAAUUGGCACAAACAACUAUUAAAAUUGAAAAACACUGUGGCAGAAAUAAUGGCCGGAAUCGUAUUGAUAUCGAUCAUAUGGUGGCUAUUGUAUUUGUAUUAUAUAAUAUUAAACUACAAAUCUACAGAGUAUUUUAAUAAUACAAUUAUUAAUGAAGCAAUGAAUUAUAUCUACUUCAUAAUAUUAUAUGUGAUCAGUACGGUUGUCGGGAGAGUGACAAAAUUAACCGUCUA